RNAcentral lists this ribosomal RNA (253 nucleotides) under uncultured bacterium. RNAcentral's name for it is "partial 16S ribosomal RNA". It matches the Rfam family "Bacterial small subunit ribosomal RNA", at positions 547 to 776 of the family's 1533-position model. The record is from RNAcentral.
UCCUUCUUUUUCCCUCGUUAAUCGGAAUUACUGGGCGUAAAGCGUGCGCAGGCGGUCUUGCAAGACAGAUGUGAAAUCCCCGGGCUCAACCUGGGAACUGCAUUUGUGACUGCAAGGCUGGAGUGCGGCAGAGGGGGAUGGAAUUCCGCGUGUAGCAGUGAAAUGCGUAGAUAUGCGGAGGAACACCGAUGGCGAAGGCAAUCCCCUGGGCCUGCACUGACGCUCAUGCACGAAAGCGUGGGGAGCAAACAGG